This is a long non-coding RNA of Octopus bimaculoides (California two-spot octopus), 285 nucleotides long. RefSeq lists it as uncharacterized. The record is from RefSeq and is a predicted model, not a curated record. Lineage: Eukaryota; Metazoa; Mollusca; Cephalopoda; Octopoda; Octopodidae.
UAAAUUGAUACCAUGCUCGACUCCUUGGCUAUGACAGGGAAGAGGUAUUGCUGUUAAUGUUCCUGAACGAGCUUUAAAAACGAUCAACACUUGUAAAGGGCUUAAAAUGUUGGGUAUCCAAACUGAGGAUGCAAAGACAGGCAGAAUGAAAUACCACAAGGACGACGCAAUGCCGAGUUUGCUAAUCAACUCACUUUUAACAAUAAUGAUAAUAAUGAUUUUAAAUUUUGGCACAAGGCCGGUAGUUUUAGGUGGUGAAGUCAGUCAAUUACAUCGACUCCACUA